RNAcentral lists this microRNA precursor (115 nucleotides) under Myotis davidii. RNAcentral describes it as "mir-9193 microRNA precursor family". It matches the Rfam family "mir-9193 microRNA precursor family". The record is from Rfam by way of RNAcentral. Lineage: Eukaryota; Metazoa; Chordata; Mammalia; Chiroptera; Vespertilionidae.
CAUGCACUGGUGGGGUCCCUCGGCCUGGCCUGUGGGGAUCGGCUUUCUGACAUCCCCUGAGGCAUCCCGGAUUGCGAGAUUACACAGGCCAGGCCGAGGGACCCACCAGUGCAUU